AUCGAGAACUUGCUCGUCGGCCAAGAACUAAAGUUGGGGUAUCGAAAACGAUUAGAGACCGUUGUAGUCCCAACCACAAACUUUGCUGACUGGCUUUGUGCGAGGUCGAGCUUCGGCGCAGAUCUCGUGCGGGGCCUAGGCGAAAGCAUAGUCUUCGAGUCUCUUGGAGAGUAUGCCCGCAAGAGUGAAAUUUAAAAGAGUUGGCGGAGUCCCAUACAUGAACUGGGACGUGCGGCUUAAUUUGAUUCAACACGGGAAAACUUACCAGGGCCUCGGCACGUGUGAGUCGCCCUCGUCACCUCCGUGAAGGGUUUGGUUGAAAUCCGGCGACGAUUGUGUCUGGGGUUGUGCAUGGCCACCCGAGGCCGAUGGAGUGAUUUUUUGGUUAAGUCCGCGAAUCGGCGAGACCCAAGCUCCCAGUUCCGACCGCUCGACGGAAGGCUGGGAGUACCGGACGCGUAAACGUCAGGUGGGAC
RNAcentral lists this ribosomal RNA (476 nucleotides) under Mikrocytiidae sp. RNAcentral describes it as "partial small subunit ribosomal RNA". It matches the Rfam family "Eukaryotic small subunit ribosomal RNA", at positions 957 to 1446 of the family's 1831-position model. Lineage: Eukaryota; Endomyxa; Ascetosporea; Mikrocytida; Mikrocytiidae. The record is from RNAcentral.